GAUGAACGCUGGCGGCGUGCCUAAUACAUGCAAGUCGAGCGAACAGACGAGGAGCUUGCUCCUUCGACGUUAGCGGCGGACGGGUGAGUAACACGUAGGUAACCUACCUAUAAGACUGGGAUAACUUCGGGAAACCGGAGCUAAUACCGGAUAAUAUUUCUAACCGCAUGGUUCGAUAGUGAAAGAUGGCUUUGCUAUCACUUAUAGAUGGACCUGCGCCGUAUUAGCUAGUUGGUAAGGUAACGGCUUACCAAGGCAACGAUACGUAGCCGACCUGGGAGAGUGAUCGGCCACACGGGAGCGGAGACGCGGACAAGACUCCUAAGGGAGGCAGCAGAAGGGAAUGUGCCGCAGUAGGCGAGAGCCUGACGCAGCAGCGCGGCGUGUGUUAUGAAGGUGUUGGGAGCGUAAUACUGUCUUAUGAGUGAAAAACAACUGUGUAAGUAGCUGAGCACGUAGUGACGGUACCUGAUCAGAAAGCCACGGCUAACUACGUG
This 497-nucleotide ribosomal RNA is filed under the name uncultured bacterium. Its description in RNAcentral is "partial 16S ribosomal RNA". It matches the Rfam family "Bacterial small subunit ribosomal RNA", at positions 28 to 507 of the family's 1533-position model. The record is from RNAcentral.